RNAcentral lists this ribosomal RNA (467 nucleotides) under uncultured bacterium. RNAcentral describes it as "partial 16S ribosomal RNA". It matches the Rfam family "Bacterial small subunit ribosomal RNA", at positions 28 to 507 of the family's 1533-position model. The record is from RNAcentral.
GAUGAACGCUGGCGGCGCGCCUAACACAUGCAAGUCGAACGAUUAAAGCACCUUCGGGUGUGUAUAAAGUGGCGAACGGCUGAGUAACACGUGGGCAACCUGCCCCUUUCAUUGGGAUAGCCACGGGAAACCGUGGAUAAUACCGAAUACUUCGAGACUUCCGCAUGGAAGACUCGAGAAAGCUCCGGCGGAGAGGGAUGGGCCCGCGGCCUGUUAGCUUGUUGGUGGGGUAACGGCCUACCAAGGCAAUGAUGGGUAGCUGGGUUGAGAGACCGACCAGCCAGAUUGGGGCUGAGACACGGCCCAGACUCCUACGGGAGGCAGCAGUGGGGAAUCUUGCACAAUGGGCGAAAGCCUGAUGCAGCGACGCCGCGUGCGGGAUGAAGGCCUUCGGGUUGUAAACCGCUUUCAGCAGGGACGAGGCGAAAGUGACGGUACCUGCAGAAGAAGCCCCGGCUAACUACGUG